RNAcentral lists this ribosomal RNA (450 nucleotides) under uncultured bacterium. Its description in RNAcentral is "partial 16S ribosomal RNA". It matches the Rfam family "Bacterial small subunit ribosomal RNA", at positions 354 to 796 of the family's 1533-position model. The record is from RNAcentral.
GUGGGGAAUAUUGGACAAUGGGCGAAAGCCUGAUCCAGCCAUGCCGCGUGUGUGAAGAAGGUCUUCGGAUUGUAAAGCACUUUAAGUUGGGAGGAAGGGCAGUAAGUUAAUACCUUGCUGUUUUGACGUUACCGACAGAAUAAGCACCGGCUAACUUCGUGCCAGCAGCCGCGGUAAUACGAAGGGUGCAAGCGUUAAUCGGAAUUACUGGGCGUAAAGCGCGCGUAGGUGGUUUUGUAAGUUGGAGGUGAAAUCCCCGGGCUCAACCUGGGAACUGCCUCCAAAACUGCAUGGCUAGAGUACGGUAGAGGGUAGUGGAAUUUCCUGUGUAGCGGUGAAAUGCGUAGAUAUAGGAAGGAACACCAGUGGCGAAGGCGACUACCUGGACUGAUACUGACACUGAGGUGCGAAAGCGUGGGGAGCAAACAGGAUUAGAAACCCUAGUAGUCC